Molecule: ribosomal RNA, 218 nt
Filed under: uncultured bacterium
Lineage: Bacteria
Description: partial 16S ribosomal RNA
Rfam family: Bacterial small subunit ribosomal RNA
Source: RNAcentral
GUCUGAGAGGAUGAUCAGUCACAUUGGGACUGAGACACGGCCCAAACUCCUACGGGAGGCAGCAGUGGGGAAUAUUGGACAAUGGGCGCAAGCCUGAUCCAGCCAUGCCGCGUGAGUGAUGAAGGCCCUAGGGUUGUAAAGCUCUUUCACCGGAGAAGAUAAUGACGGUAUCCGGAGAAGAAGCCCCGGCUAACUUCGUGCCAGCAGACCGCGGUAAU